GACGGGGCCCGCACAAGCGGUGGAGCAUGUGGUUUAAUCGAAGCAACGCGAAGAACCUUACCAGGUCUUGACAUCCCCUGACAACCCGAGAGAUCGGGCGUUCCCCUUCGGGGGACAGGGUGACAGGUGGUGCAUGGUUGUCGUCAGCUCGUGUCGUGAGAUGUUGGGUUAAGUCCCGCAACGAGCGCAACCCUCGACCUUAGUUGCCAGCAUUCAGUUGGGCACUCUAAGGUGACUGCCGGCUAAAAGUCGGAGGAAGGUGGGGAUGACGUCAAAUCAUCAUGCCCCUUAUGACCUGGGCUACACACGUGCUACAAUGGGCGGUACAAAGGGUCGCGAACCCGCGAGGGGGAGCCAAUCCCAAAAAGCCGCUCUCAGUUCGGAUUGCAGGCUGCAACUCGCCUGCAUGAAGCCGGAAUCGCUAGUAAUCGCGGAUCAGCAUGCCGCGGUGAAUACGUUCCCGGGCCUU
Molecule: ribosomal RNA, 469 nt
Filed under: uncultured Anoxybacillus sp.
Lineage: Bacteria; Bacillati; Bacillota; Bacilli; Caryophanales; Anoxybacillaceae
Description: bacterial SSU rRNA
Rfam family: Bacterial small subunit ribosomal RNA
Source: RNAcentral